This 253-nucleotide ribosomal RNA is filed under the name uncultured bacterium. RNAcentral describes it as "partial 16S ribosomal RNA". It matches the Rfam family "Bacterial small subunit ribosomal RNA", at positions 524 to 776 of the family's 1533-position model. The record is from RNAcentral.
UACGUAGGGGGCUAGCGUUGUCCGGAAUCAUUGGGCGUAAAGCGCGCGUAGGCGGUCAGGUAAGUCCGGUGUGAAAGUCAAAGGCUCAACCUUUGAAUGCCGCUGGAUACUGCCUGACUUGAGUCCGGAAGGGGCGAGUGGAAUUCCUGGUGUAGCGGUGAAAUGCGCAGAUAUCAGGAAGAACACCUAUGGCGAAGGCAGCUCUCUGGGACGGUACUGACGCUGAGACGCGAAAGCGUGGGGAGCGAACAGG